UACGUAGGGGGCUAGCGUUGUCCGGAAUCAUUGGGCGUAAAGCGCGUGUAGGCGGCCCGGUAAGUCCGCUGUGAAAGUCGGGGGCUCAACCCUCGGAUGCCGGUGGAUACUGUCGGGCUUGAGUACGGAAGAGGCGAGUGGAAUUCCUGGUGUAGCGGUGAAAUGCGCAGAUAUCAGGAGGAACACCAAUUGCGAAGGCAGCUCGCUGGGACGUAACUGACGCUGAGACGCGAAAGCGUGGGGAGCAAACGGG
Molecule: ribosomal RNA, 253 nt
Filed under: uncultured bacterium
Lineage: Bacteria
Description: partial 16S ribosomal RNA
Rfam family: Bacterial small subunit ribosomal RNA
Source: RNAcentral